Molecule: unclassified non-coding RNA, 236 nt
Organism: Nomascus leucogenys (northern white-cheeked gibbon)
Lineage: Eukaryota; Metazoa; Chordata; Mammalia; Primates; Hylobatidae
Rfam family: Metazoan signal recognition particle RNA
About the family: The signal recognition particle (SRP) is a universally conserved ribonucleoprotein.
Source: Ensembl
ACUAUUAGCAGCGUAGGAUUGAGGAGUUGGAAGAGACAUUUAAGACAGCUGGUCAUUAUGCCGACCAGGUGUCCGCACUAAGUUCAGCAUCAAUAUGGUGACCUCCUGGGGGAGGGGGCCACCAGGUUGCCUAAUGAUGAGUGAACUGUCCCAGGUCAGAAAGGGAGCAGGUGAGAAUUCCUGCACCAAUUGGUAGUGGGACUGUGCCUGGGCAAUAUAGCAAGAUCUUGGUUCUU